This 84-nucleotide transfer RNA is filed under the name Blastochloris tepida. Its description in RNAcentral is "Blastochloris sp. GI tRNA-Gly". The record is from RNAcentral. Lineage: Bacteria; Pseudomonadati; Pseudomonadota; Alphaproteobacteria; Hyphomicrobiales; Blastochloridaceae.
CCGCGCGCUGCCCGAGCUGCGCGGGCGGCUGGUUGCCAACCAGCCGAUGGCCGAGCUGACCUGGUUCCGGGUCGGCGGGCCGGC